This is a long non-coding RNA of Rosa rugosa (rugosa rose), 1059 nucleotides long. RefSeq lists it as uncharacterized. NCBI's taxonomy places the organism in Eukaryota, Viridiplantae, Streptophyta, Magnoliopsida, Rosales, Rosaceae. The transcript is spliced from 6 exons. The record is from RefSeq and is a predicted model, not a curated record.
UCAUCGGGCAAAACACAAAAGACUCUGUGUUCUUGAAAAGGGUAGGGGAGGCCGCCUAGACGGCGCCUAAGCGUUAGGCUUGAUGGCACCGCCCGCUCUCUCUCGACUCUCCUCUUACCAGUACCGGCAGCACUUUGCAGUCCCAAGUCCCAACAUCACUCUCUCUCUCUCCCUCUCCCUCUCCCUCCCUUCCUCCUAACAAAGUCUCUCUCUUUCUUUCAAACCUCUGGUGUUUGCCGGAGUUUCUAUUCAUUUAAUCAUUUAUAACUAUAUGUUGAUUAUCUUGAAUAUUUUGGCCAUUAUAUUCUGGGUCUUUUCAAAUUGAAUGAAUAUAUGUUGAAUUGUUUUCCAGGAGGAAGCAAGAUUGGGGAACAAAGAAAAAAAUCAGACUCUGUGAUUAGGAUUUUAGAGAGACACAGUAAUAGGGACCAUGGCCUUCGUCCCAGACAGAAGGAGUUGUUCAUUGGCUUCACAUGCAAAGGGCUGAGAUGGAGAGAAUGGACAAAUUGGUGAGGGAGUCAGGAGAAGCCGUGCUUGCCAAAGAAUGUUGUCAAAAUCUGGCAAAAAGUUUUAAUCACUCCACCGGCCAUGCUGGAAAACCAAUUGUGAAAUGGAUUCAGGUGCAAAAUUGGUUCCAGGAAAGGAUGCAAGAGAGUUACCUAACAUAUUAAAAGAUCUCCAGAGAGUUUUGCCCUUCCACUAAGGCACCUAAAAGCAAAGAAAAACCUAAAGUUCAUAAAAGUUUAAAUGCUGUUGAGAAGGACAACUUCAUUGGGGACUUUUCUAAAGAGGACUACAAUGACAUGGUGAAUGGAAGGCAAAGCUGGUUAGGAGUAACUCUAGAGAGCAGAAAUGGGUGGGGCCUCUUCAUUGCCAAGAAUAAAUGAUUAUGAUACCUCAAAGUUAUGCAUAUGCAAAUGCAAUAGUGUACUCAAGUUAGAUAUGCAUUUCAGAUAAACAUUGUACUUAGUUGCUGGUCUUAUCUCGAACUAUGUCGUUGUCUUAUUAGUGUUUGAACUUUGCCGUCUAUAAUAAUGGAAUUGGGUUUGUCUUUGCUCA